AGUGAACGCUGGCGGUAGGCCUAACACAUGCAAGUCGAACGGCAGCACAGAGGAGCUUGCUCCUUGGGUGGCGAGUGGCGGACGGGUGAGGAAUACAUCGGAAUCUACUCUGUCGUGGGGGAUAACGUAGGGAAACUUACGCUAAUACCGCAUACGACCUACGGGUGAAAGCAGGGGAUCUUCGGACCUUGCGCGAUUGAAUGAGCCGAUGUCGGAUUAGCUAGUUGGCGGGGUAAAGGCCCACCAAGGCGACCAUCCGUAGCUGGUCUGAGAGGAUGAUCAACCACACUGGAACUGAGACACGGUCCACAUUCCUACGGGAAGCAGCGUGGGGGAAUAUUGGACGAUGGGUUCCAGCCUGAUUCUCUCCUACUUCUUGGGUGAUGAAUGACUGAUGGUUGUAAAGCCCAUUUGUUGGGAAAGAUAUCUCUUCGGCUUAACUGUUGAUCGGAUGACGGUACCCAAAAAAAAAAUAUCGGCUAACUUCGUGCCCCAUGUAAGGACUUCCUAAAGCUGCAUCCUUUACUCGGAAUUACUGGGCGUAUGCGUGCCAAGGUGGUUUUUAAGACCGUUGUUCUACCCUAGGCUCUACUGGGAAUUGCAGUGGAUACUGGAUGAUUAACAUGCGAUAGAGGGUUCCGAAUUCCUGGUGGCAUAAAGUAACUUUACAGAUCCCGAGGACCAUCCUGGCUAAGCACGCCCUGUACAAAAUAUUCUUAAGCGUGUACGCUGGGCCUAAUAAAUAAAACAUCCAUG
RNAcentral lists this ribosomal RNA (756 nucleotides) under uncultured Pseudomonas sp. RNAcentral describes it as "bacterial SSU rRNA". It matches the Rfam family "Bacterial small subunit ribosomal RNA", at positions 28 to 790 of the family's 1533-position model. Lineage: Bacteria; Pseudomonadati; Pseudomonadota; Gammaproteobacteria; Pseudomonadales; Pseudomonadaceae. The record is from RNAcentral.